This 114-nucleotide small nucleolar RNA is filed under the name Delphinapterus leucas (beluga whale). RNAcentral describes it as "Small nucleolar RNA SNORA70 (ENSDLEG00000018499.1)". It matches the Rfam family "Small nucleolar RNA SNORA70". From Rfam's summary of the family: snoRNA U70 seems to be exclusive to mammals and is a member of the H/ACA class of snoRNA which contain H (ANANNA) and ACA box motifs. The record is from Rfam by way of RNAcentral. Lineage: Eukaryota; Metazoa; Chordata; Mammalia; Artiodactyla; Monodontidae.
CUGCAGCUAAUCAGGCCUCUUUUCUCUGUGGAGGCCUGGUGUGCAAUGGCUGCAAAAAGCAGCCACACACCAUUGUAAAGCAAUUAUACUCCAAUAAAGAUGUUAAAAAAAAAA